GACGAACGCUGGCGGCGUGCUUAACACAUGCAAGUCGAACGGAAAGGCCCUGCUUUUGUGGGGUGCUCGAGUGGCGAACGGGUGAGUAACACGUGAGUAACCUGCCCUUGACUUUGGGAUAACUUCAGGAAACUGGGGCUAAUACCGGAUAGGAGCUCCUGCUGCAUGGUGGGGGUUGGAAAGUUUCGGCGGUUGGGGAUGGACUCGCGGCUUAUCAGCUUGUUGGUGGGGGAGUGGCUUACCAAGGCUUUGACGGGUAGCCGGCCUGGGAGGGUGACCGGCGACCUUGGGACUGCGAUACGGCCCAGACUCCUACGGGAGGCAGCAGUGGGGAAUAUUGCACAAUGGGCGGAAGCCUGAUGCAGCAACGCCGCGGUCGGGAUGACGGCCUUCGGGGUGUGAACCGCUUUCGCCUGUGACGCAGCGUGAGUGACGGUAAUGGGUAAAGAAGCACCGGCUAACUACGUG
This 468-nucleotide ribosomal RNA is filed under the name uncultured bacterium. RNAcentral's name for it is "partial 16S ribosomal RNA". It matches the Rfam family "Bacterial small subunit ribosomal RNA", at positions 28 to 507 of the family's 1533-position model. The record is from RNAcentral.